AAUAGAGGGGGUUUCUCAAAAAGGUAGAGAGAAAUCCAAAAAAAAAUGUGAAAAAGAUAGAGAGAAAAAGUGUGUAAGGUAAAACAGUGGAGAUAUUGUUCCAUGUGGUCAAGUUCAUCCUUAGAGCUGUGAGACUCAUUAUUGGCCAUUCAUGUCCAUGCAGAAGUUGAAGUCAACCUUGACCUACCAACACCAAUCAGUGAGCAACAACCAGGCGAGUGUAAAAUUAUAUGUGUGGGCAUGUCAUACUGGACAAGGGCACCCCAUCCUAGUGCUCUGUCACGUGUAGCAGAGUCCACCUCAGGUACUGUGCACCCUCACUUCCCAGCGAGUCAUCAAACAAUACGUGGCUCCUCUUCCACAGCUCCCACUGGCUGUGCGACACAUAGUCAGCAUUGUUACUUAUGUCCACAC
RNAcentral lists this long non-coding RNA (414 nucleotides) under Lupinus angustifolius (narrow-leaved blue lupine). RNAcentral's name for it is "long non-coding RNA (LANG_LNC002546)". Lineage: Eukaryota; Viridiplantae; Streptophyta; Magnoliopsida; Fabales; Fabaceae. The record is from RNAcentral.